RNAcentral lists this ribosomal RNA (433 nucleotides) under uncultured bacterium. RNAcentral's name for it is "bacterial SSU rRNA". It matches the Rfam family "Bacterial small subunit ribosomal RNA", at positions 29 to 507 of the family's 1533-position model. The record is from RNAcentral.
AACGAACGCUGGCGGCAUGCCUAACACAUGCAAGUCGAACGAAGCCUUCGGGCUUAGUGGCGCACGGGUGCGUAACGCGUGGGAAUCUGCCCUUAGGUACGGAAUAACUCAGAGAAAUUUGUGCUAAUACCGUAUGAUGUCGAGAGACCAAAGAUUUAUCGCCCAGGGAUGAGCCCGCGUAGGAUUAGGUAGUUGGUGGGGUAAUGGCCCACCAAGCCGACGAUCCUUAGCUGGUCUGAGAGGAUGAUCAGCCACACUGGGACUGAGACACGGCCCAGACUCCUACGGGAGGCAGCAGUGGGGAAUAUUGGACAAUGGGCGAAAGCCUGAUCCAGCAAUGCCGCGUGAGUGAUGAAGGCCUUAGGGUUGUAAAGCUCUUUUACCCGAGAUGAUAAUGACAGUAUCGGGAGAAUAAGCUCCGGCUAACUCCGUG